Molecule: non-coding RNA, 30 nt
Filed under: Mus musculus (house mouse)
Lineage: Eukaryota; Metazoa; Chordata; Mammalia; Rodentia; Muridae
Source: RNAcentral
UGGCAAUUCAUUUAGCCAUCUGCUUCUCUG